GAUGAACGCUAGCUACAGGCUUAACACAUGCAAGUCGAGGGGAAACGGCAUUUAGUGCUUGCACAGAAUGGACGUCGACCGGCGCACGGGUGAGUAACGCGUAUCCAACCUACCCAUUACUGUGGGAUAACCUGCCGAAAGGCAGACUAAUACCGCAUAGUCUUCGAUGACGGCAUCAGAUUUGAAGUAAAGAUUUAUCGGUAAUGGAUGGGGAUGCGUCUGAUUAGCUUGUUGGCGGGGUAACGGCCCACCAAGGCGACGAUCAGUAGGGGUUCUGAGAGGAAGGUCCCCCACAUUGGAACUGAGACACGGUCCAAACUCCUACGGGAGGCAGCAGUGAGGAAUAUUGGUCAAUGGACGAGAGUCUGAACCAGCCAAGUAGCGUGCAGGAUGACGGCCCUAUGGGUUGUAAACUGCCUUUGUAUGGGGAUAAAGUCAAUCACGUGUGAUUGUUUGCAGGUACCAUACGAAUAAGGACCGGCUAAUUCCGUGCCAGCAGCCGCGGUAAUACGGAAGGUCCGGGCGUUAUCCGGAUUUAUUGGGUUUAAAGGGAGCGUAGGCCGGAGAUUAAGUGUGUUGUGAAAUGUAGACGCUCAACGUCUGACUUGCAGCGCAUACUGGUUUCCUUGAGUACGCACAACGUUGGCGGAAUUCGUCGUGUAGCGGUGAAAUGCUUAGAUAUGACGAAGAACUCCGAUUGCGAAGGCAGCUGACGGGAGCGCAACUGACGCUUAAGCUCGAAGGUGCGGGUAUCGAACAGG
This 761-nucleotide ribosomal RNA is filed under the name Prevotella melaninogenica. Its description in RNAcentral is "bacterial SSU rRNA". It matches the Rfam family "Bacterial small subunit ribosomal RNA", at positions 28 to 776 of the family's 1533-position model. Lineage: Bacteria; Pseudomonadati; Bacteroidota; Bacteroidia; Bacteroidales; Prevotellaceae. The record is from RNAcentral.